Molecule: ribosomal RNA, 483 nt
Filed under: uncultured bacterium
Lineage: Bacteria
Description: partial 16S ribosomal RNA
Rfam family: Bacterial small subunit ribosomal RNA
Source: RNAcentral
UACUAACUCUGGCGGCGUGCUUAACACAUGCAAGUCGAACGCUGAAGCUCAGCUUUUGUUGGGUGGAUGAGUGGCGAACGGGUGAGUAACACGUGAGUAACCUGCCUCCUUCUUUGGGAUAACGCCCGGAAACGGGUGCUAAUACUGGAUAUUCACUGGUCUUCGCAUGGGGGUUGGUGGAAAGGGUUUUUCUGGUGGGGGAUGGGCUCGCGGCCUAUCAGCUUGUUGGUGGGGUGAUGGCCUACCAAGGCUUUGACGGGUAGCCGGCCUGAGAGGGUGACCGGUCACAUUGGGACUGAGAUACGGCCCAGACUCCUACGGGAGGCAGCAGUGGGGAAUAUUGCACAAUGGGCGCAAGCCUGAUGCAGCGACGCCGCGUGAGGGAUGGAGGCCUUCGGGUUGUGAACCUCUUUCGCUCAUGGUCAAGCCGCAACAAUGGUUGUGGUGAGGGUAGUGGGUAAAGAAGCGCCGGCUAACUACGUG